This 567-nucleotide ribosomal RNA is filed under the name uncultured bacterium. Its description in RNAcentral is "bacterial SSU rRNA". It matches the Rfam family "Bacterial small subunit ribosomal RNA", at positions 102 to 683 of the family's 1533-position model. The record is from RNAcentral.
ACGGGUGAGUAACACGUGGGUGAUCUGCCCUGCACUUCGGGAUAAGCCUGGGAAACUGGGUCUAAUACCGGAUAUGACCUCAGGUUGCAUGACUUGGGGUGGAAAGAUUUAUCGGUGCAGGAUGGGCCCGCGGCCUAUCAGCUUGUUGGUGGGGUAAUGGCCUACCAAGGCGACGACGGGUAGCCGACCUGAGAGGGUGACCGGCCACACUGGGACUGAGACACGGCCCAGACUCCUACGGGAGGCAGCAGUGGGGAAUAUUGCACAAUGGGCGAAAGCCUGAUGCAGCGACGCCGCGUGAGGGAUGACGGCCUUCGGGUUGUAAACCUCUUUCAGCAGGGACGAAGCGCAAGUGACGGUACCUGCAGAAGAAGCACCGGCUAACUACGUGCCAGCAGCCGCGGUAAUACGUAGGGUGCAAGCGUUGUCCGGAAUUACUGGGCGUAAAGAGUUCGUAGGCGGUUUGUCGCGUCGUUUGUGAAAACCAGCAGCUCAACUGCUGGCUUGCAGGCGAUACGGGCAGACUUGAGUACUGCAGGGGAGACUGGAAUUCCUGGUGUAGCGGUG